This 569-nucleotide unclassified non-coding RNA is filed under the name Hevea brasiliensis (rubber tree). The record is from RNAcentral. Lineage: Eukaryota; Viridiplantae; Streptophyta; Magnoliopsida; Malpighiales; Euphorbiaceae.
AAGGCAAUCAUAAGUGUUAUAGCAUCCAUUUUGUAUAUUUACUGCUUUCUUUAUAGGUACAUUCAAUGUAACUGAUUUGAGGAUUGAAGUAAAUACAAAUGCCUUCGUUUUCUUUACGUUGCAGCAGAGACAUAUUGCUGAUUCUUUUGUCCUGAGAAGCAGGAGCCACUUCUGGUGGAACAUAUCCAGCUAGUAAAUGAAAGUCAUCUGAAAUACUAUUCUUGGAAGAACUAACUUAUCUUGGAUGGGAAUUGGGUGCUAUUAGAACCUUCUAUGAUGGAAGCCUCAAUAUCUUCAAGACUAAAUGCAGGCUCAUCUGGGGAUGUACUAUCCAGGUUCUGAUUCCUGAAAAUACUACUUGUUCUCUGUUGUUGAUCAAACAUCAUCUUAAGUUGUCUGCCUUGUUCUUCAAUGCGUAAUUGUAAGUUUUUCUGAAUCUCCAACUGUUCGUGCAGACGCCUCUGGACAUCUAAUUGCAGUUGCAGUGCCUCUGUGAUUUGCAUGCCAGUUUUUGCAUUGAUCGGCGAUACAUCAUUUAUGCUAGUUCUUUUCUCAGGCUUUCCUUCUGA